Molecule: unclassified non-coding RNA, 520 nt
Filed under: uncultured Glomus
Lineage: Eukaryota; Fungi; Glomeromycota; Glomeromycetes; Glomerales; Glomeraceae
Description: SSU rRNA
Rfam family: Eukaryotic small subunit ribosomal RNA
Source: RNAcentral
AGCAGCCGCGGUAAUUCCAGCUCCAAUAGCGUAUAUUAAAGUUGUUGCAGUUAAAAAGCUCGUAGUUGAAUUUCGGGAUCAAUAUAUCGGUCGUGCCUUGGUACGUACUGGUAUCAUUGGUUUCUCCUUUCUGACGAACCAUGAUGUCAUUAAUUUGGUGUUUUGGGGAAUUUGGACUGUUACUUUGAAAAAAUUAGAGUGUUUAAAGCAAGCUAACGCUUGAAUGCAUUAGCAUGGAAUAAUGAAAUAGGACGUUUGAUUCUAUUUUGUUGGUUUCUAGGAUCGACGUAAUGAUUAAUAGGGAUAGUUGGGGGCAUUAGUAUUCAAUUGUCAGAGGUGAAAUUCUUGGAUUUAUUGAAGACUAACUACUGCGAAAGCAUUUGCCAAGGAUGUUUUCAUUAAUCAAGAACGAAAGUUAGGGGAUCGAAGACGAUCAGAUACCGUCGUAGUCUUAACCAUAAACUAUGCCGACUAGGGAUCGGAUGAUGUUAAUUUUUUAAUGACUCAUUCGGCGCCUUAC